RNAcentral lists this transfer RNA (72 nucleotides) under Camelus bactrianus (Bactrian camel). It matches the Rfam family "tRNA". From Rfam's summary of the family: Transfer RNA (tRNA) molecules are approximately 80 nucleotides in length. Their secondary structure includes four short double-helical elements and three loops (D, anti-codon, and T loops). Further hydrogen bonds mediate the characteristic L-shaped molecular structure. tRNAs have two regions of fundamental functional importance: the anti-codon, which is responsible for specific mRNA codon recognition, and the 3' end, to which the tRNAs corresponding amino acid is attached (by aminoacyl-tRNA synthetases). tRNAs cope with the degeneracy of the genetic code in two manners: having more than one tRNA (with a specific anti-codon) for a particular amino acid; and 'wobble' base-pairing, i.e. permitting non-standard base-pairing at the 3rd anti-codon position. RNAcentral also lists the same sequence under 2 other names. Lineage: Eukaryota; Metazoa; Chordata; Mammalia; Artiodactyla; Camelidae. The record is from Rfam by way of RNAcentral.
GAGGAUAUAGCUCAGUGGCAGAGGACAUGCCUAGCAUGCACGAGGUCCUUGGUUCGAACCCCUGUACCUUCA